Molecule: long non-coding RNA, 345 nt
Organism: Diorhabda carinulata
Lineage: Eukaryota; Metazoa; Arthropoda; Insecta; Coleoptera; Chrysomelidae
Exons: 2
Source: RefSeq, a predicted model, not a curated record
GGAAUAUACAGAAUUUAUUAAACAAAAUGGCAAAAUUCACUUUCGUUCUAUUGGCUUUAGUCGCCGUAGUUGUUCUUGCAACAACCGAAGUUAGCGCAGGUAAAAUAUCAGAGCUUAACGUUCAAUUUUCUUUGGGAGAUAGCUGCGAAUGCAACGCUUGCACACAACAAUGUACUUCUCAAGGGUCAGGAUACAUUGGAGGUAUUUGUUACCAAGGUCAAUGUUACUGUGCACAACAAGGAUAAAUAAAAUAUGAAAGUUAAAAAUUUUGAAAUUGAAAUUAAUUGAAAAAUUGUUGUCGUGUUAUUUUUAUUAUAAAAAAUAAAAUAUAUGAAAUGUAUCUAA